This 65-nucleotide transfer RNA is filed under the name Lachnaea ruscifolia. RNAcentral's name for it is "partial transfer RNA-Leu (UAA)". The record is from RNAcentral. Lineage: Eukaryota; Viridiplantae; Streptophyta; Magnoliopsida; Malvales; Thymelaeaceae.
AAAAUCCUCGACUUUUAAAAUCGUGAGGGUUCAAGUCCCUCUAUCCCCAAAGUCCCCCUAUCCCC